RNAcentral lists this ribosomal RNA (182 nucleotides) under uncultured bacterium. Its description in RNAcentral is "partial 16S ribosomal RNA". It matches the Rfam family "Bacterial small subunit ribosomal RNA", at positions 1321 to 1500 of the family's 1533-position model. The record is from RNAcentral.
UGAAGCUGGAGUUACUAGUAAUCGCAGAUCAGAAUGCUGCGGUGAAUGCGUUCCCGGGUCUUGUACACACCGCCCGUCACACCACGGAAGUUGGGGGCGCCCGAAGCCACUUAGCUAACCCUUUUGGGAAGCGAGUGUCGAAGGUGAAAUCAAUAACUGGGGUGAAGUCGUAACAAGGUACC